AGAGUUUGAUCAUGGCUCAGAUUGAACGCUGGCGGCAGGCCUAACACAUGCAAGUCGAGCGGUAGAGAGGAGCUUGCUUCUCUUGAGAGCGGCGGACGGGUGAGUAAUGCCUAGGAAUCUGCCUAGUGGUGGGGGAUAACGUUCGGAAACGGACGCUAAUACCGCAUACGUCCUACGGGAGAAAGCGGGGGACCUUCGGGCCUCGCGCCAUUAGAUGAGCCUAGGUCGGAUUAGCUAGUUGGUGAGGUAACGGCUCACCAAGGCGACGAUCCGUAACUGGUCUGAGAGGAUGAUCAGUCACACUGGAACUGAGACACGGUCCAGACUCCUACGGGAGGCAGCAGUGGGGAAUAUUGGACAAUGGGCGAAAGCCUGAUCCAGCCAUGCCGCGUGUGUGAAGAAGGUCUUCGGAUUGUAAAGCACUUUAAGUUGGGAGGAAGGGCAGCAAGCGAAUACCUUGCUGCUUUGACGUUACCGACAGAAUAAGCACCGGCUAACUCUGUGCCAGCAGCCGCGGUAAUACAGAGGGUGCAAGCGUUAAUCGGAAUUACUGGGCGUAAAGCGCGCGUAGGUGGUUGGUUAAGUUGGAUGUGAAAGCCCCGGGCUCAACCUGGGAACUGCAUCCAAAACUGGCCGACUAGAGUACAGUAGAGGGUGGUGGAAUUUCCUGUGUAGCGGUGAAAUGCGUAGAUAUAGGAAGGAACACCAGUGGCGAAGGCGACCACCUGGACUGGUACUGACACUGAGGUGCGAAAGCGUGGGGGAGCAAACAGGAUUAGAUACCCUGGGUAGUCCACGCCGUAAACGAGGUCAACUAGCCGUUGGUUCCUUGAGGACUUAGUGGCGCAGCUAACGCAUUAAGUUGACCGCCUGGGGAGUACGGGCCGCAAGGUUAAAACUCAAAUGAAUUGACGGGGGCCCGCACAAGCUGUUGGAGCAUGUAGGUUAAUUUCCAACAACG
This 961-nucleotide ribosomal RNA is filed under the name uncultured Pseudomonas sp. Its description in RNAcentral is "bacterial SSU rRNA". It matches the Rfam family "Bacterial small subunit ribosomal RNA", at positions 8 to 961 of the family's 1533-position model. Lineage: Bacteria; Pseudomonadati; Pseudomonadota; Gammaproteobacteria; Pseudomonadales; Pseudomonadaceae. The record is from RNAcentral.